UCUGCUAUAUGCAUGUAAACCCAGAGAGAAGUACCAGUUUUUCGGCAGGUGGGUAACUCAAAAGCCUGCUGCUGUAGUCCCCACUCCCUACCUAGAGGCCCCAAAACCCUAGCUUUGAUGAGAAGAUGAUGAUGUAAAAAGAAGAGAGUAAAAAAAACAAUAACUAUAAAUAUAUAUGUAGCAUGUAACUGAAGCUUUAGCUCUGACUGGUCCAGUCAACUUGCUGUUUAUCGAACAGAGAAAUACAUCAGCGCAGAAGAGGUUAAAUCAAAAGAAAGGAGCAGUUAUGUUGUCAUUUAUGGGAUAUGGAAGGAACUGACCAUAAGAUAUUUAGCACCAGACUGUAAGAUUCUCGACAUCUGCUUCUUUUCCUUCUCCAAGUACAAUUCUAGAAAGAGGGCUUCAUUACCUUAAGUCCCCUAGUAGAAGAAAAAAAAAGGACAUAUAUAUAUACACUUCGCUAAUAUAAUCUAAAACAACAUGAUUGUUGUUACUCUGAACCUAUAGCCUUUGAAGUUGGACCCAUAACUGUGAUAAGCCAAAAAAGAAGCAAAGAUGGAAAUACCAGAAAGGUUACCACAUCUCUCCCUCCCUCCCUCUGGAGCUGUAGCGUAAUAUAUAUUCUAUGUUUUAUAUAUACAUAUAUAUAGCUCAUUCAAUUGUUUAUUGCUAUCUCAAAGUAAGUGUAUUCUUCAAUAAAUAAUGUAUACAGCAUAUUGUUGAUCUACUCAAUAUGUGCUCCGCUAAUCUACCGGCCCUAGCAUUUAAUUACUGGUCAAAUGGACAUUAAUGAAGAAAAGUAUUAGUGACAAUUGGGUUUCCCUUCAUGUAAACUUUGUGUGUGCAUGCAUGCAUGCAUGCAAAAUAUAGUUUGACGGACUUCAUAUUAAUCAAACAGACUAAGUCGCCUUUUUCAUUCCGUAAACAUUUGUGGUUUAGAACUUUUAGAUGUAUUUUUGUUUAGUGUCUUUUUUUUGGGUGACUAUGUGUUGGAAAGGAAGAAUUAAUACUUGACAAAAUGCAACUUAGUUGAGUUAUUUACUGAAUUUCAAUCCUUAUUACUAUUGAAUAUUAAUAUUAAAAAUAUCGUUCUCUAAUAGCUUUAGCAUUUGGAGAAUAGCAGCUAUUUUAUAUAAUUUAACAUGGUAUUAGAUCAUUAGGGUCGAGUCCCUGCCAUGCUCCUUUCGACAUUUACUAUCUUUUUAUUUAAUAAAGUUUCAUAUCUUGAAUUUGUUAAAAAAGUCUCAAACUUAGACAUAAGGAAUAGGAUUGUAAACAAAUAUUGUUUAUACUGCUCUUUACUAGUUUAAAGUUUCAAAGAACCAUGGUUGUUUUAUAUUAUUUAACAAUUACAACGGUAUUAUGCAUUUUGUUUUUGGGAGAGAGAAAGCAAAUAUGCAAUCUACCUCGUUUACUUUAGCCUUGCUGAGUAUGGUAUCAUGCAUAUUAGACACACUAUAGUGGCCUUUUCUGUAUAUGGAACUAAAUUCUAUUGUUGCUGAGCACGGUGGAAAAUAUUUUUGCUUGAGCUUCUGUAUUAGUGUAUGUGCAGAUUCAAUUAUUAAGAAGCCUUGCAGUAGCAUUCAGUGUAAUAGUUAUCGAUAUAAAGUUUGUUGUGGGAACAAUUACUUGUUGCAGAUAAUAGAUUUUCUGGGAAAAUAUAUAAAAUAUUCUAUCCAUUGACCAAUGAUGGGACAUGCAUAAUGUCUCUUCUUUUUUUUUUCUGGUGGACUAUACUUUUCUUACUAGAUUUAGUCGCUACGGGUAAUGUUAUAGAGUUUCUUUUCCUCGAACUCAUCCAAUUCUUCUUAUAUAUUCAAAUGAUACGGUAAUCAGAUAAACCUAUCUGCUUCCAUCAUCACCAGCAUAAAUGAUAAUUUUCAAAGCUAAAAUCUACCAGCUGGGAAGGUUAGUGUUAGUGUAUAUGGCUCGACAAAAGCUAAUUAAAUUACUAGUAGCCACAAUACUCGCUUUGUGAUCUUUUGUAAAGUUAUCUAUUAAUUAAGCACGUCCGAGGCUCGUCAAUUUUGUAUUAGGUGAAUUAGUGUGACAGCUUCAGCAUAAAAUGACCAUAAGAUCUCUCGUCGUUCUCGAGAAAAGCAGCUUUUCUGACGUUUCAGUUCUUGCUGUCGAUUUUCUUACUAUAGUUUGUUUACUCGUGGAUUCCAGUAAAAGCAAUUCCCUUUAACAUUCUAUUACAUUCUUCUUGCAACAUGCUUUUUCUGGUCUAUUGAUAUACGCAUAAAAACUUACUCAGUAAUUUUUACAUCUGUAUAUUUUCUCGGGGUCAUCUUCCCUGUAUAUAUAUAUCCACACAUAUGCACGACUAGAAACACUCGAGCCAACUAAUAUAUAUAUAGAAUUAGACUGGAAUACUAUUAAUAAUAAAAUUCUCUUUUUGCUAUCAAAUUUUUAAUCUUAGGAUAGAAAAUUGUAGGGUUAGGAUGAUAUUAGUCAGUUAGAGUGGUUUCCCUAGGAUUGAGUGGUCCCUACUGGGUUAUAAUAUUUAAUCCAAUGAUUAGAAAUGAUGAAAAGAGUUAAUCCAAAGGCUAAAAAAUUGGUAGCAACAAUAGAAUUUUACUAUUAAUAAUAGCCCAGUCCAACUAUAUAUAUAUAUANUUUAUCAAGUGUUUUCUCGAUAGUAACAAAAGAAAAAAUUGCUCCGUAAAUUUCGUACCCCUGUGGGGAACACAAUUUUAUCCUUAGAUAUAAAUACUGAAUCAACACGAAAUAAACUCAUCUAGCUAAAAGCUUAGUGUCUGAUAUAAAUAAAUAUAAAUUUCAUGUCUCUAUCAUUUGCUGUCCUCCCUGCUUUUCGCCUGAUUUGUUAGCUUGUAAUCUCUCCCUCAACAUCUUUUUUGUCAGCGAUUAGAGGUAAUUCCUUUUCUUGUACAGCCCUGCAGUUAUCUCUUUUCACAGUUCUUAUUAGCAGGGUUAUCUCUCUUCACAGUUCUUAUUAACUUCCUCGGUUAUCCGCACACACCAUUUAAUUAACCAGGGUUGAUCGACAGAAAUUAAGUACUCAUUAGCUAAAACUUAAUUUAUUCCGACAUAAUUUUUGCUUAAAUUUAUUAAAAUUCUAUUAAUUUGACACGAGAAAUAUUGCAUGUGAGAUUGACCUGCUGAUGCGCCAGCUCUCCUUCGCAGUAUUGCUUUUCGAUCUCCUUCGCAGUAUUGCUUUUCGAUAAAACAAUCAUUAUGAACCUUAGAGGUAAUGACCAAAAUUAGGGUAGGCAGAUCUCCUGUGCCAAAUUUGGACAUUCAAAACACGCUAAGGAGGCAUAGGGACAAAGUAGAGCGUGACCAACGCAAGAAACGCUUCGGAAUUGAUACACCGUGUAACACGAUCGAAGAAAUCAGCAGUAUAUAUACAUCUCAAACACUAGUAGCGAACAAGGUUGGUAGGGCCAACAUGACUCACAUGUGAAGUUCAGCUUCCUGCUCAUUUGACUCGUUUUUAUUUCAUUUUAUUGCAUUUUCUUCUACUGGAGAACUGGUCCCUGCCAUCCUUACUUGACCCACAUCCCUAGUGGAGUUCCAACUCAGAAACUAAAUCCCCACCCAAAAAAAGGCCACAGACGGGUUGAAGUUUGCGCUUCGAACUCGGCCAAGCCCGCCCAACCAACUGGACCAGUUGUUAUUAUUAUACCCACGUUAACGGGGCACAAUGUUUAAAAAAAAAACCACCCCUAGCCCAGUUUCACGCCCCGUUAUGCCGCCUCAGUGUUUUUGGUUGGAUGAAACCCGACCUCCACAAACAGGCGACUUUAGGCCGUACUCUGAUCUCGAUAUCCCGCAGGCGAGAGGCGAAGUUGCAAGCUCCAGCUGUAGCGGAGCUUGCGACCUCUUCUCACAGCCCAUGCGAAGCGGCUGCACGUCGCAAUGACUUCCGCCUCCUCCAAGUUUGUGGAAUCACCAGCUUCCACCUUCCACUUUGUCGUUUCAAACAGCUCCUCAGCUGAAAGAUAUAUCCAGUCGGUGACGAUGGCACUGAAUCGAAUAUUGCCCCUUCUAUUCUUCAUAUCAGGGAACCAUCAUAUCCUCUGGAGUGAAUAAAGUUUAAAUACAAUCAAUCCAAAACAAAAGUUGAUCUCUAAAUCAUAAUUCUUUAGAUACACGAUCAAUCCAAAACAAAAGGUAAUCUCUAAAUCAUAAUUCUUUACAUACAAUCAAUCACCUUGUACGCAGACCAAAAUUUCACAUUAUCAAUCGGUCAAACUGUCCUGAUAAAAAUUAUCAAACGGUCAAACUGUCCUGUUGUUAUCACAAAAGACAAUUUCUAUUCUGCUCACAAAAUAAUACGCAUCCAAAGAGGCUUGCUUGACAGAAUCAGAAAGUAUAAAACCCAGAAUUUCCAUAGGAAUCUCAUAUGUAAGCAGUUGGAUCAAAACAUUCAGAAUAAAGGUGUGUGUAAACUGAACCUGGUCGUUGUACCAUCUUCUAUUAUUGUAGCUAAUGUCAGAAACUUGAAGAAAAAGCCACAAUACAUAGGCAAUAUAUGGAGGAGAAACACUAACUAUAGUUAAUUUAUGCACAAGAGGAAUGCAUCUUAACAAACAGAUUUUAAUUAUAAAAGCAAUCAACUGGCACAUAUCAAACUACAAUUUUUGAUAAAGGUCCUCUGAUAGGGGCUCAUCAAAUAUGUGAUGACAAAGAUUAAAUUUCUUCCUUUUCAUAGGAACUAUCAGGGCAUCGGUAGCCUGGGCCCAAAUGUAAAAUCAAUGUGUAUAGUGAUUGAAUAGAUACUGACAGGUUUACCACCCUCUAGAAAGACAACUGAGAAGCAAAAGGAUCAAUUCAUAAAGAUGAAAUAGUUGUGCUUCAGAGAUUAGCUUUUGUAGCCACUGCUGAAAUCUUUGAAGCGUCGGCAACUUUAUCUGUAAAUAGUCAAUCGCUCUUUCCCUCCUGAGAUCCAAUCUCCUGAAGGUAGUGCUCAGCAUCCAAAGCAGCCAUGCACCCUGUGACAUUCAGUGGAAGGCAUUAUAUACUAAUCCUGUUGUUGUAGUCAAUAACUAAAAAUGAAGAAGAAGAUGAUGGAGGAGAAAAGGAAAAAAAAAAAAAAACUCUAGCUAAAUUGAAUGGAUAAGCUUACUGAUGUUAUGUUUAACUUACAUGACUAAAAAAAAUCUUUAAACUAGCAUCUCAACACAACAGAUUCAUGAGCUAAGCAUUAAUACUUAACACUGGCUCAAGCCUGGCCUUGGCCUAACCUGGAGUUGAGCUGGAUCCUCCUUCACUAUAAUCCAACUUCCUUAUCCCUAUACAGCCCGAAAGUGAAAUGUGCUUCUAGCUUCUAAGCUCAAGGCCUAAGAAGCAUAAUGACAGUGCCAACUCCGCGGUUGUGUUCUGAGACUCUUCGCUUACUCGGGAGUCAACACUAGGUUUGCUCCACUGGUUCUCAAUUCAAGAAAUUAUGCUUGUAAGGAAGGCUGAAUUCAUCAAAUUUGGGUGGACCAGGGCCGCAAAAGUUUGGGCACACGCUCAAUUGGAACAACUAACAAACACUCUACUUAAUGACUAAUCAAUUUAAGCAACCAAUGUCUAAUGCAUGCUUGUAUUUUUAGUAGUAAUAUGAUAUCUGAAAAGGCACACAGUAAGGCUUCUUUUAUAUGCCUGCUAACAGCAAGAUGAAUCUAGUUUCUUCUACACGAGAACAAUGAAACAGCCAAAAGGCUGGAGUUACAACCAAAAAUGUUAGAUCAUAGUGAAAGAAGCCAUUGGAAAGGAACGAUUGCUUGAGGAUUAGAUGAACAAAAGGUGAAUUCUUAAUUAAAGGGCAUGGCUAUUUACAGUAAAGAAAGAAACAAGUUCUUUGCGUUCCUGGCACCGGGUGGGUGCAUCUGCAUUCUGUUUGCUUCCCUACAUUUCCUACGAUGAGCAUAUCUCCCAUCCGACAUCUACUUGUAAACUGGAAGUGUGAGCUAUAACAUUAAAUGAGAUAUACAACACAAUACGACAUAGCAACAACGGCGAAUAACUUGACAGAAUCAAACCAGCAACAACAUGAUAGCAUUGUAACAAUUCAUAAGAUGAGCGGUAAGAAGGGAAAGGGCAAUCAAAGAAAGGGAGGCAUUUUGUUACCUGAUCCAGCCGCGGUGACGGCCUGGCGAUACUUCUUGUCCUGCACGUCCCCUGCAGCAAACACCCCUUUCACGCUCGUAUGCGUCGAUCCGGGCUUGGUCACGAUGUACCCAUCAGAGUCGAGCUCGAGCUGCCCCCCUAGAAACUUGGUCGCCGGCUCGUGGCCGAUAGCGAAGAAGAGGCCCGACACCUUGAGAUCGGACACCUCUCCGGUGACGACGUUCUUCACCUUCACCCCAGCCAACGGACCAUUAUCCCCUUCCCCGUAGGCUUCCACGACUUGGGAGUUGUAGAGGACCUCGAUCUUAGGGUUUGCGAGGGCCCUGGCCUGCAUGAUCUUGGAGGCGCGGAAUGUGUCGCGGCGGUGGACGAUGUAGACCCUGGAGCCGUACUUGGUGAGGAAGUUGGCCUCCUCCAUGGCGGAGUCGCCGCCCCCGACGACGGCGAUGGGGCGGUCGCGGAAGAUCGGAGCGGCGCCGUCGCACACGGCGCAGGCGGAGAUGCCGCGGUUCCAGAAGCGGUCGGAGCCGGGGAAGCGGAGGCGGCGGGCGACGGCGCCGGUUGCGACGAUGACGGCGUCGGCCUCGACGGCGGUGGAGUCGGAGAGGACGCGGAAGGGGCGCGAGGAGAGGUCGAGGGAGUUGACGGUCUCGGUGAGGAUGGUGGUGCCGAAGCGGAGGGACUGGGCGCGGCAACGGUCCAUGAGGUCGAGGCCGAGGAUGCCCUCGGGGAAGCCCGGGAAGUUCUCGACGUCCGUGGUGGUCGUGAGCUGGCCCCCCGCCGCGAUGUCGUUGGCGAGCCACCCCUCGAAGAGGAUCGGCCGCAGCUCGGCGCGCGCCGCGUAGAUCGCCGCGGUGUGCGCGGCGGGGCCGCUGCCGAUGAUGCAGAGCCGGGUGCGGCGGGUCACGGGGACGGCGCCUCCGUCCUCCAUGGGAGAGGAGAGAGGUGGUGGAUUAGGGUUUGGAGGAGGAGGAGGAGGAGGAGGAGGAGGAGGGGCGGUGCCGGUAACGGAGCGGGCUUUGUCGAGGAGAGCCGCGAGCUUGGAGCGGAAGCUCAUCAAGGGUUGGGGAUUAAAGAACACCUUCGGCCGCAUUGACCGUCAAUGUACUUUGCCGUGUUGAAUAUUGAAAUAUUCCGCUCCGAGUUUGAGCUAUCGUUGGGCUUAAAUUCGAUUGAGCCUUCCAUCUGAUGGGCCAAAGUAACAGGCCGGACCCAACAUAGGCCCUGAUCUUACCAAGCUUCGAUGAGCUCAAUGUCAUCUGGUUCUAAAUUGGGCCGAAUUUGAAGUCAAAUAGGCCGAACGAUGUACUAGGACCUAAUUGCCCCAUCCCUCUCCAGUUGCGGUUUGUGAACUCAACAAUCGAGCCGCCGAUGAUUCCUUCCUGGGGGAAGUUUCCUUGCAACUUCUGGGCAGAAUUAGUUAAUUCUAAAAUGGCUAAAGAAUUACGAGAAAUAGAAGAUAAACCGUAGCCACUAUUGACUUGAAAAAAUAGAUGAGAGUAGAAACAUGAAUUUUAAACGGCAUUACAUUUAUACACAUAUAUAUUUCGAGUAAGCGAAGCAAAAAAGUUGCAGUUUCUUAAUUUACAUCUUUUGUUUAACUUUCCUGACUAAUUUUCCAAACCGGGUUUCAGAACCAACAAGUACAGAAGAAACAAAAGCAGAAUUAACGAGGUUCCUGGAGAACCGUUGCAAACAUGUUUAAAAAGACAAAAGAGAGCUCGAAAUUUAUUGGCCGAUGGAGACUGCUGCACAUUCACUAAUCGGCAUCGACGUUCUCUUUAUGAACUCCAAGCAAUCUGUGAUUGCCUCCGCGUAGAAAGAGUUCGAUCUCACGCACAAUCCCGAUAUAAACUCCGGCUGCCCUUCCCAGACUACCAAAGCUCUUCUGUUGCUACUCCUGCUGCAACUCCUCGAUGAACUGCUGAAACCUGUCUUUAUUCCUUUCCUUACUCUCUGCACGCAACGAUUCAAGAGACUGAAGAGAGUUAGCAGCUUGACAACUCGCAGCCGGAGUACGGAGAAGCGAAUGGAACUCAACCGGAAGCCUCUCGUGGGGCGGUGCCAUCUCCGGCUAACUCUGUUGUAGUAACUCCGGCGACCCAUUUGACAACUAUACAUGGGAGAUUCGGAAUACUAUUUGGGUUAUAUAUUAUUGUGGGGCGAAGGAAGUGAUCAUGGGAACGUGUCACAUUUGAGAAGCACAAGAAAGGGUAGGUUUGAAACCGAUCUUCAGUGUGACGGGCGAUCUCAAGACACGCUAGAGAUUAAUUAGCUCAACAUAAUAAGGUUGGUAACCACGCAUUAAGAAAAAAGCUAGAGGUCUUUAACAUUAAUUAUCUACUGUGAAAGAAAUAUAUAUAUAUAUAUAUAUAGCUAGAAUACUCUCAAAAGUACCAUAGAGGUAGUGCUUUUGAAUUUUUAAUCAUUGGAUGGAGAGAUGUGAGGUUGAGUUGAUUAUGUUAGGUGAUGAUAGGUGAAAUAGUGUUUGAUUCAAAAACUAUUAGUAAUCAAGAAGUAGAUCUAAGGAUUAGAAACUUAGAAGCACCAAGAGGGUGGUGCUUCUAAAAGUAUUCUACCUCAAUUCUCUCUCUCUCUCUCUCUCUCUCUCUCUCUCUAUAUAUAUAUAUAUAUAUAUGUAUGUAUGUAUGUAUGUAUGUAUAUCCAUGUAUCAUAUUUACUCUAUGCUAGUUUACUUGAUGCACAGUUGACUAAAGUUUAUUUCAUCAAACAUUAUGUAGAAAAUACUGGCACUACUGUACAUCCUGAAUAGCUUAGUAGGACUAGGACGGAGUAAGUUGGCGAAAAGUCAACUUACAAUAUUAAUUCGCCCAUGUGUUAUAGAAGUAUCGAGUCUUUUGUGAUGGAUUAAUCAAUUAGCAAUUUAGGAUUAAAUGAAUGUACGCGUACAUAAUAUAUGAACUUUCGAAGAAGUAUCAUAAUCGACUAGCUCACUAGCAUACCUCUUUCGUAUUCAUAUUUAUUAUUGGUACCAGCAUAGAGCACAAUGAUCGUACGUACUAAGUUCUUACUAUGCGAUGAUUCCAUAUAUAUACAGAUGUAAUUAACAUAUAAAAUAAUAAGACUAAUUAGUGUCUUAGGUGAGGAUAUGUGGGUUGUCCAUCAACCCCGGCCCAAUCGUUUAGUCCUCUUAAUGCAACUAACUAGUGCUGACUGCUGAGGCGCGCACACGUGUGCACCGCCACCGCCUAUGUUAGUCGCGGGGUAGGUGUUUAAAUAACUCGACACUUGUGGCGAGCGUGCCCCGCACGCACGCCGUGCCAUGCGGAGAGCCCGUUCGCCUUCUCCCUUUUUUCGUAGUGCUCACACGAGCGAAAUCCGGGGAACAGCGGCCUCGAGCUCGACCCUUUUUUUGUCCCGGUUAGCACGCUAGCUUCGAUAGCGUGUAAAUCUGACACGUGUCGCCGGCCACACGUAUUCACGAUUGCGGAUCUUCAAUCAACGUGGAACCAUAGAGGUCUAAGGAGCUGGGUCUUACAAACAAGUAACAAGUAAAGCCGAUCAAGGCCCUAGCUCCGCAUUGGGCCUCGCAUUAUUAAAUGUUGGGCUCAUUUUCGUUUGUUUGCGUGUUGCUCGCGGUGAAUAAAAGGGCCGUAUGAGCCUUCACAGCAAAUAUUUACCCCUAGUAGUACGCUCUAUGUGCAAGUCUUUUCCUUUAAUUUUCUAACUCUUCGUUUGGAUCGGGUAUAAGCAAUAACUAGUUAUACCGGGAAUAAGUACAAGAAUGAAUUUUCGUAAGAACAAGAGUAUUUUUUUGUUUGGAUGAAAAUGUAAGUAUAAGCUGGAACUAGAAAAAUUAUAUUUGGAUAAAAAUCUGAGAAUAAUGCGGAAUAGUUGGUAGUUAUAGAUAGAAAUAAUAAUUUUACCUAUAUAAUUGAAUUUAACAUUUUAAACUAAUAAUUUUAAAUUAAAAAUUUUAACUUUUAAAUUUUAAAAUUAAAACUUAUAAUUUUCAAAAUUUAAAUUUUAAAUAUCAAAUUUUAAAUUUAAGAUCAAAUUUAAAUUUGAAAGAUAUGAAAUAUAAAAUUUUAAAUUUUAAAACUAAAAAAUUAAAUUUAAAAUUUAAAAAUUAUAAAUAUCAAAUUUAUAAUUUAAACAUUAAAAUUUAUAAUUUAAAAUUAUAAAUUUAAAUUUUAAAAAACUAAAUUAUAAAUUUUAGAAAUUAAAAUUAAAAUUAAAAAUCUCUCUCUCUCUCUCUCUCUCUCUACCCGGGAGGGGUGGAACAAGUGUUCUACCCCUUGUUCCACCCCAACUGGUACAAGGGGGGACUUGUACCAGUUGGGUGGAACAAGGCCCCCCUGAUAGAAAUAAUAAUUUUACCUCUAUAAUUGAAUUUAACAUUUUAAACUAAUAAUUUUAAAUUAAAAUUUUAACUUUUAAUUUUAAAUUUGAAAUUAAAAUUAAAACUUAUAAUUUUCAAAUUUAAAUUUUAAAUAUCAAAUUUUAAAUUUAAAUCAAUUUAAAUUUGAAAGAUAUAAAAUAUAAAAUUUUAAAUUUUAAAUCUAAAAAUUAAAUUUAAAAUUUAAAAAUUAUAAAUAUCAAAUUUAUAAUUUAAACAUUAAAUUUAUAAUUUAAAAUUAUAAAUUUAAUUUUAAAAAACUAAAUUAUAAAUUUUAGAAAUUAAAAUUAAAUUAAAAUUAAAAUUAAAUUAAAAUUAAAUCUCUCUCUCUCUCUCUCUCUACCUGGUACAAGGGGGGACUUGUACCAGUUGGGGUGGAAAAGUGCCCCCCCCCCCCCCCCCCCCCCCAUUGUGUUUGGGUACAAGGGGGGGAUACCCCUUAUCCCCCGUCUUGUUUCCAUUCCAAACAGGGUGUAAAGUAAUAAAAUUUUAAUUUUAAAUUUUUGAUACUAAUUAUUAAAAUUUUAUCCAAUUAUAUUAGAUAGGCUCACUAAUCAUUCCAAAUGAUUGUGUUUGGGAUAUGCCAGUUGAUUGAUUGGUACUAUCGAUAGUAUAUGUAAGUUGAUUGAUUGGUACUAUCGAUAGUACUCCUUUGUCGCCCUCCAACGAAGAUGUGCGUUUUCCACGUGGGUAUAUGUAUUCUAGCACUUCAAUUAUUGACCAAAAAAUUUCAAUAAUUUCAAUAAAUUUAUUAAAUUUUAAUUUCUUAAAAAUAAAAUACUUAACAACUGAUAAUCAGUAUAAUAGUUAAAUUUUAGGGCUAAUUUCAUAUAGCCUGCAAACAUAGUAAAUGUCAAAUAUAUUUCUACAAAGUUCAACUUUUAUAUACUAUAUCUGUAAAAGUUCUAAUAUUUUUAAAUAUAUAUACCUCUGAUUUGUUACCAUUCGAAAAUUGUUUAUAUUCUCAAUUUUGUCAUCACAAAUAUAUCUCUUCAAAAACCAUAACAAUAUAAUAUAAAAGAAUAAAAAUAUCAAAAAUUAAUUAGGGUUAAGUAUUUAACCUAUGGUUAACUAAAUUUUUCUAACGUAUUUUAACGGUAUGGACAUAUUUGAAAAUAUCAAGAUUUUUACAAAAAUAUAUAUAAAAAAUAAAUUUUGUAGGAAUAUAUUUGUUAUUUACUAUAUUUGCAAGAAUCUGCAAGAAAUUAAUUCCAAAUUUUAUUAUAUCCAAGUAAAACAAUUGAAAUAAUAAAAAUUAGAAACUAAAGAAAUAUCGAUAUAAUAACCCCCU
RNAcentral lists this long non-coding RNA (11732 nucleotides) under Ananas comosus (pineapple). Its description in RNAcentral is "long non-coding RNA (ACOM_LNC011185)". The record is from RNAcentral. Lineage: Eukaryota; Viridiplantae; Streptophyta; Magnoliopsida; Poales; Bromeliaceae.